RNAcentral lists this long non-coding RNA (248 nucleotides) under Ananas comosus (pineapple). Its description in RNAcentral is "long non-coding RNA (ACOM_LNC029652)". Lineage: Eukaryota; Viridiplantae; Streptophyta; Magnoliopsida; Poales; Bromeliaceae. The record is from RNAcentral.
UUCAGAUUCCGGCAUUCUCACAAAACAACGGCUCCUAGCCGUCUUAAAUCGGUUCAUAUAUUCUUCAACCGAUUCACCCAUCCUCUGUUUAAACUGAGCCAAAUCAGCAACCGAUAAUUCCGAUUCUGUUCUAUAAAAUUGUUCAUGGAAUUUUUCUUCUAAUUCGUUCCAGUCUCGGACGGAAUUAGCCGGUAAACUCGUAUACCAAGUAAAAGCCGUCUUGGUUAACGAGAUGUUAAAUAAGUAUA